Molecule: ribosomal RNA, 444 nt
Filed under: uncultured bacterium
Lineage: Bacteria
Description: partial 16S ribosomal RNA
Rfam family: Bacterial small subunit ribosomal RNA
Source: RNAcentral
CCUACGGGGGGCUGCAGUGGGGAAUUUUGCGCAAUGGGCGAAAGCCUGACGCAGCGACGCCGCGUGGGUGACGAAGGCCUUCGGGUCGUAAAGCCCUGUGGGGAGGAACGAACCGGCAUCGGGCUAAUAUCCAGGUGUCUUGACGGUACCUCCUUAGCAAGCACCGGCUAACUCUGUGCCAGCAGCCGCGGUAAGACAGAGGGUGCAAACGUUGCUCGGGAUUACUGGGCGUAAAGCGCGUGGAGAUGGUCCAGGGCUCAACCCUGGAAGUGCAUUCGAAACUGCCAGGCUAGAGUACUGAAGAGGAUCGCGGAAUUCCCGGUGUAGAGGUGAAAUUCGUAGAUAUCGGGAGGAACACCAGUGGCGAAGGCGGCGAUCUGGGCAGAUACUGACACUGAGACGCGAAAGCGUGGGAAGCAAACAGGAUUAGAUACCCCAGUAGUC